UUCGGGUCUAGUGGCGCACGGGUGCGUAACGCGUGGGAAUCUGCCCUUAGGUACGGAAUAACUCAGAGAAAUUUGUGCUAAUACCGUAUGAUGUCGAAAGACCAAAGAUUUAUCGCCUAAGGAUGAGCCCGCGUAAGAUUAGCUUGUUGGUGAGGUAAAAGCUCACCAAGGCGACGAUCUUUAGCUGGUCUGAGAGGAUGAUCAGCCACACUGGGACUGAGACACAGCCCAGACUCCUACGGGAGGCAGCAGUGGGGAAUAUUGGACAAUGGGCGAAAGCCUGAUCCAGCAAUGCCGCGUGAGUGAUGAAGGCCUUAGGGUUGUAAAGCUCUUUUACCAGGGAUGAUAAUGACAGUACCUGGAGAAUAAGCUCCGGCUAACUCCGUGCCAGCAGCCGCGGUAAUACGGAGGGAGCUAGCGUUGUUCGGGAUUACUGGGCGUAAAGCGUACGUAGGCGGUUAUUCAAGUCAGAGGUGAAAGCCUGGAGCUCAACUCCAGAACUGCCUUUG
RNAcentral lists this ribosomal RNA (509 nucleotides) under uncultured Sphingomonadales bacterium. Its description in RNAcentral is "bacterial SSU rRNA". It matches the Rfam family "Bacterial small subunit ribosomal RNA", at positions 85 to 629 of the family's 1533-position model. The record is from RNAcentral. Lineage: Bacteria; Pseudomonadati; Pseudomonadota; Alphaproteobacteria; Sphingomonadales.